GAUGAUUAUCUAGCUUGCUAGAUAUGAUUAGUGGCGGACGGGUGAGUAACAUUUAGGAAUCUGCCUAGUAGUGGGGGAUAGCUCGGGGAAACUCGAAUUAAUACCGCAUACGACCUACGGGUGAAAGGGGGCGCAAGCUCUUGCUAUUAGAUGAGCCUAAAUCAGAUUAGCUAGUUGGUGGGGUAAAGGCCCACCAAGGCGACGAUCUGUAACUGGUCUGAGAGGAUGAUCAGUCACACCGGAACUGAGACACGGUCCGGACUCCUACGGGAGGCAGCAGUGGGGAAUAUUGGACAAUGGGGGCAACCCUGAUCCAGCCAUGCCGCGUGUGUGAAGAAGGCCUUUUGGUUGUAAAGCACUUUAAGCAGGGAGGAGAGGCUAAUGGUUAAUACCCAUUAGAUUAGACGUUACCUGCAGAAUAAGCACCGGCUAACUCUGUGCCAGCAGCCGCGGUAAUACAGAGGGUGCGAGCGUUAAUCGGAAUUACUGGGCGUAAAGCGAGUGUAGGUGGCUCAUUAAGUCACAUGUGAAAUCCCCGGGCUUAACCUGGGAACUGCAUGUGAUACUGGUGGUGCUAGAAUAUGUGAGAGGGAAGUAGAAUUCCAGGUGUAGCGGUGAAAUGCGUAGAGAUCUGGAGGAAUACCGAUGGCGAAGGCAGCUUCCUGGCAUAAUAUUGACACUGAGAUUCGAAAGCGUGGGUAGCAAACAGGAUUAGAUACCCUGGUAGUCCACGCCGUAAACGAUGUCUACUA
RNAcentral lists this ribosomal RNA (752 nucleotides) under Moraxella sp. RNAcentral describes it as "bacterial SSU rRNA". It matches the Rfam family "Bacterial small subunit ribosomal RNA", at positions 65 to 818 of the family's 1533-position model. Lineage: Bacteria; Pseudomonadati; Pseudomonadota; Gammaproteobacteria; Moraxellales; Moraxellaceae. The record is from RNAcentral.